AAGGGGCAGGGGCAGGGAUUCAAGUG
RNAcentral lists this microRNA (26 nucleotides) under Mus musculus (house mouse). RNAcentral describes it as "mmu-miR-6953-5p". The record is from miRBase by way of RNAcentral. Lineage: Eukaryota; Metazoa; Chordata; Mammalia; Rodentia; Muridae.